Molecule: ribosomal RNA, 3220 nt
Filed under: Capsicum baccatum
Lineage: Eukaryota; Viridiplantae; Streptophyta; Magnoliopsida; Solanales; Solanaceae
Description: bacterial LSU rRNA
Rfam family: Eukaryotic large subunit ribosomal RNA
Source: RNAcentral
GUGACCCCAGGUCAGGUGGGAUUACCCGCUGAGUUUAAGCAUAUAAAUAAGCGGAGGAAAAGAAACUUACAAGGAUUCCCUUAGUAAUGACGAGCGAACCGAGAACCGCCCAGCCUUAGAAUCAGGUGGCUCCAUCGUUCGAAUUGUAGUUUGGUGAAGCGUCCUCAGCGGCGCACCGAGCCCAAGUCCCCUGGAAGAGGCGCUAGAGAGGGUGAGAGCCCCAUUAUGCCCGGACCCUGCCGCACCAUGAGGCACUGUCUAGGAGUCAGUGAAUGCAGCCCAAAUAGGGUGGUGAAUUCCGUCCAAGGCUAAAUACGGGCGACAGACCAAUAGCAAAAAAAUAUCGCGAGGGAAAGAUGAAAAGGACUUUGAAAAGAGAGUCAAAGAGUGCUUGACAUUAUCGGGAGGUAAGCGGAUAGGGGCCGGCGAUGCUCCUUGGUCAAAUGUGGAAUGGCGACGAGCUGGUCCGCCAAUCGACUCGGGGCAUAGACCAGUGUGAAUUAGGGGCGGCCAAUGAUCGGGCUCUCGAUACGCUUGUGAAACACCAUCUCCUCGAUUGUGGAUGGCAGUGCGCACCUCCGGCGUGCUUUGGCAUCUUCACGCUAUGGACGCUGGCCUGUGGGCUCCCCAUUUGACCCAUCUUGAUAAACGGACCAAGGAGUUUGACUUGUGUGUGAGUCAACGGGCGAGUAAAUCUAUAAGGCAUAAGGAAGUAGAUUGGUAGUAUCCACCCAAGAGGUGCACCGUCGACUGACCUUGAUCUUCUAAGAAGGGUUCGAGUGUGAGCAUACCUGUUGGGACCCGAAAGAUGGUAAACUAUGCCUGAGCGGGGUGAAGCCAGAGAAAACUCUAGUGGAGGCCUGCAGCGAUACUGAUGUGCAAAUCGUAUGGCUGACUUGGGUAUAGGGCCCGCGGAUGCUUUGUCGAGCCAUGCCACGAAAUCAAGAGCUCCAAUUGGGCCAUUUUUGGUAAUCAUAACUGGCGAUGCGGGAUGAACCAAAAGCCAGGUUACGGUGCCAAACUACGCGCUAACCUAGAUCUCACAAAGGGUGUUGGUCUAUUAAGACAGAAGGAUGGUGGUUAUGGAAGUCAAAAUCCUCUAAGGAGUGUGUAACAACUCACUUUCCGAAUAAAUUAGCCCCGAAAAUAGAUGGCGCUUAAGCGCGCAACCUACACCCCGCCGUCGGGGAAAGUUCCAGGCCCCGAUGAGUAGGAGGGUGCAGCGGUCGCUGUAAAACCUUGGGCACUAGCCCUGGUAGAGCGGCCGUCAGUGCAGAUAUUAGUGGUAGUAGCAAAUAUUCAAAUGAGAACUUUGAAGGCCAAAGAGGGGAAAAGUUCCAUGUGAACGGCACUUGCACAUGGAUUAGUCGAUCCUAAGGAUUGGGGGAACCCCGAUAGAUAGCGCGUUUUACGCAUACUCGAAAGGGAAUUGGGUUAAAAUUCCUGGACCGAGAUGUGGUGAUCUACGGCAAUGGUAGGAAGUCCAGAUACGUCGGCGAGAGCCUCAGGAAGAGUUAUGUUUUCUAUUUAACAGCUUGCCCACCCUGGAAUCAGCUCGGCCGGAGAUAGGGUCCUGCGGCUGGAAGAGCACUGCACGUCGUAUGGGGUCCGGUGCACUAGCGGUGGCCCUUGAAAAUCCAGAGGAACAAAUACCGUCCAUGCCCGGCCGUACUCAUAAGCACAUCAGGUCUCCAAGGGGAACAGCCUCUGGUCGAUGGAACAAUGUAGGUAAGGGAAGUCGAAAAAUGGAUCUGCAACUUUCGGAAAAGGAUUGGAACUGAGGGUUGGGCAUGGGGAUCCUUGUCCCGAACCCGUCAGCUGUCAAUGGACUACUCGAGAUGCUCCCACAGAAAGAGUGGGUCAACGCAUGCCGGUCUGGGGACAGACUGGGAACGGUUCCUUCGGGGGCCUUCCCCACGCGUCGAACAGCAAACUCAGAACUGGUAUGGACAAGGGGAAUCUGACUGUUUAAUUAAAACAAAGCAUUGUGAUGGUCUCAAUGGAUGUUCACAGAUUGUGAUUUCUGCCCAGUGUUCUGAAUGCCAAAGUGAACAAAUUCAACCAAGCGCGGGUAAACGGCAAGAGUAACUAUGACUCUCUUAAGGUAACCAAAUGCCUCGUCAUCUAAUUAGUAACGUACAUAAAUGUAUUAACGAGAUACCAACUGUCCCUGUCUACUAUCCAGCGAAACCACAGCCAAGGGAACGGGCUUGGCAGAAUCAGUGAGGAAAGAAGACCCUCUAGAGCUUGACUCUACUUUAACUUUGUGAAAUGACUUGAGAGGUGUAGUAUAAGUGGGAGCCGAAAGGCGAAAGUGAAAUACCACUACUUUUAAUGUUAUUUUACUUAUUCCAUGAAUCAAAAGCGGGGCAUUGCCCCUUCUUUUGGACCCAAGGCUCGCUCUGCAGGCCGAUCUGGCCGGAAGACAUUGUCAGGUGGGUAGUUUGGCUGGGGUUGCACAUCUUUUAAAAGAUAACGCAGGUGUCCUAAGAUGAGUUCAACGAGAACAAAAAUAUUGUGUGGAACAGAAGGGUAAAAGGUCGUUUGAUUCAGAUUUCCAGUACGAAUAUGAACCUUGAAAGCGUGGCCUAACGAUCCUUUAGACCUUCGAAAUUUGAAGCUAAAGGUGUCAGAAAAGUGUUACCACAUGGAUAAUUGGCCUUUUGCAUGCAAGCAUUCAUAGCAAUGUUGUUUUUUUAUCCAUUGAUGUCGGCUCUUCCUAGCAUUGUGAAGCAGAAUUCACCAAGUGUUGGACUUUUCACCCACCAAUAGGGAACGUGAGCUAGGUUUAGACCAUCGUGAGACAGGUUAGGUUUACCCUACUUAUGACAGUGUCGUAGUAGUAAUUCAGCCUAGUAAGAAAGGAAACGUUGAUUCGCACAAUUUGUCAUCGUGCUUGGUUGUAAAGACAGUGGCACAAAGCUACUGUGUGCUGGAUUAUGAAUGAAUGCCUCUAAGUCAGAAUCUGGGCUAGAAGUGACGCAUGCGCCCGUUGUUCGCUUGCCGACCCGCAGUAGAGGCCUCGGCCCCCAAGGGCACGUGUCGUUUGCUAAGCCACCACGGCGGAAGAGUCGUGGUAGCCACCUUAAAGUAUAAUUUCCAUCGAGCGGUGGGUUGAAUCCUUUACAGAGACUUAAAUAUGCGAUGGGGUAUUGUAAGUAGAAGAGUGGACUUGCUUCCAUGAUCCACUGAGAUUCAUCCCUUUGUUGCUAUGGUUCGU